RNAcentral lists this unclassified non-coding RNA (375 nucleotides) under Hevea brasiliensis (rubber tree). The record is from RNAcentral. Lineage: Eukaryota; Viridiplantae; Streptophyta; Magnoliopsida; Malpighiales; Euphorbiaceae.
GAGUAAAGACAUUACUCUUCGAUACUCUGUAAUAAAAACCUGUCAAACCAAUCACUUGCUUCUUUUACCAUCUCUGGUGUCAUUUCGUGGCCAAUCCCAGGUUGUGCGAUGAACUUGAAAUUUUCUGGACAACCAAACUUCUGAUAAGCUGUCUGGGUUCUUGAUAUGGGAGCAUCCAAACCGGCAAUUGGACAUCGAGGAUCGUCUGCACCAUUUAAUAACAACAAAGGACGUGGUGCAAUGGCUGAAACUGAAUAAAUCGAGUCAAAUUGGGAAUCUAAACCAGGAGCAAUCCUACUCCAGACCUUCUUCACCAUUUCUUUGUUGAUUUCAUUCAUGCCUAAUUCGAUUCGUGCUUCCUCAAAAACAGGUUUU